Non-coding RNA from Arachis ipaensis, 276 nucleotides. The record is from RefSeq and is a predicted model, not a curated record. Lineage: Eukaryota; Viridiplantae; Streptophyta; Magnoliopsida; Fabales; Fabaceae.
CCCAAUAUCAUCAAACUCACCUUUAUCAUCUUGCUUUCUUUUCUUUUCUACUCUACCUCUAUUUAUUCAAAAUCUCAUUUUCUCAAAACCUCCAAAUCAUGUGAUUUCAACUUAAUGAGUGAAGGAAGCAUUCAACUUUUGAGUUCUGAUUAUUAUUGAGGUUUCAAGAGUUGUAGAAUUAUUGGACAUCAUUUGGUAGCUCGUUGACGUGCUCAGAGUUGCUUCCGGUUCUUUGAAAUCAAGUUAUACAGAAGUCAUUCCAGGUUCCAUUCCACC